Paramormyrops kingsleyae is the source of this 787-nucleotide long non-coding RNA. RefSeq lists it as uncharacterized. The record is from RefSeq and is a predicted model, not a curated record. NCBI's taxonomy places the organism in Eukaryota, Metazoa, Chordata, Actinopteri, Osteoglossiformes, Mormyridae.
AGCUCCUUUGCACAGCUGCUGCUGAUCUACACGCCCCUCUUCUCCUGCUGCACACGAGCCGGGGAGGAAAUGAAAAGAAAACUCUGGGAAACAUUAUCCCAGAAUGCUUUCUUCACCUUAUUAUUUCGACACGUCCGGGUAGUAUACCUUUUCUGUUGAUUUUUCGUUUUUAUUGUGUGUGGUCGGGCAAAAUGGAGCGUAAUCUGGAGCAGUCUGGCAAAAUUUUAUAACGUGACCUACUUUCACAUCCUCAUUCUUUCCAUUUUUUUUAUUAGACCGUUGGGCUGGUGAGCCAAUAGAAAGGACAAUUAUUUCGUUUAGACUUAAACCUGUAUCCUGGAGCAUUCUUUUCGCAUGGAUAUGAAAGGCUAGAGGCUUUGCUCCGUGGCUUUGCUGAGGGUCCAUUAAGGCUGAAGGUACAGGCCCACCUGCCACCCCUACAUACCACAUCCCGCCCCUGGGGCCUCAAAACUGGGUGACCUGUCACAGGACCUUGCAUGGUGCCAGUCACAAGCACCUCUGGCUCACUUUUGCCGGAAUUAUGGCCCGGUACCACAAGCCGCUUCGGCCCACCCCGCCACCCAAAGAGCAUCCUUAUCGGAAUUCUCUGGAACCCAGAGCAGCCUGACCAGAAGCGAAUGAUCAUCCAGCCUCCACUGUCUGUGUUCAGACAUCCAAGACCGCAGAAUUGCGGUGUUGGUGCGAGAGAGGGCUGCACGUGGCCAGCAGAGGAAGGGGAAGAGCAUAGAAAUGCAGACAAAGGCAGGAACAGCCACAGAAGCAGGAC